Molecule: non-coding RNA, 1077 nt
Filed under: Sclerophyllia maxima
Lineage: Eukaryota; Metazoa; Cnidaria; Anthozoa; Scleractinia; Lobophylliidae
Description: sequence contains partial 18S rRNA gene, ITS1, 5.8S rRNA gene, ITS2 and partial 28S rRNA gene
Rfam family: Eukaryotic large subunit ribosomal RNA (bases 845-1077)
Source: RNAcentral
UUAGUGAGGCCUUCUGACUGGCGCCGAUACUCUGGCAACAGAGCGCCGGAUGCCGGAAAGUUGGUCAAACUUGAUCAUUUAGAGGAAGUAAAAGUCGUAACAAGGUUUCCGUAGGUGAACCUGCGGAAGGAUCAUUACCGAUGUAGUAUCAUCCAUGACCAUACACCACACAGGUUGGUGGUUUGCCGUGUGAACCGUACUAACUACUUUUAGGGGUCGGCCGGCCAGGCCGUUAAAUGGCGAAUCGGACGUGACGCCCGGCCGUCCGCCUUUAGGGUUAGGUCUAGGUCUUCUAGGUCUAGGUCUAGGUCGCGUCUAGGUCGCGGCCGCCUCGCCAGCCCCGCCUGCGGUUUUUUCUCAACGUACGCGUCUGAUAAAGUGUCUUCUUCCGUCUGCCAGACGGAGGAGGAAAGAGAAAGCAAAAAGCGAGAGAGACAACUUUUGACGGUGGAUCUCUUGGCUCACGCAUCGAUGAAGAACGCAGCCAGCUGCGAUAAGUAGUGUGAAUUGCAGAAUUCAGUGAAUCAUCGAAUCUUUGAACGCAAAUGGCGCUCUUGGGUUCUCCCAGGAGCAUGUCUGUCUGAGUGUCGGAUAUCAUCCAUCGCAGGCAAAUGCUUGCGGCGUUGAGGCGUCACGGCCGCCGGGAGUCGGUCGGCCGUGUCCCUUGAAAGGCAGAGAGACUCGCUGCGGCGGUUUUCCGUGGGUUACGUUACGUUACGUUUCCCGCGGCGCAUCAGCGGAGGCCAAAAGCGUCGGCAGUCCUCCGCGGGAUGUAUGCCGCCCCGCCGUCAGAGUCGCACGGGCGAAAGGUGUGUGUGUGUCAAGCACAUCCCUCUCUUUCUCUUGACCUCAGAUCAGGCAAGGCUACCCGCUGAAUUUAAGCAUAUUAAUAAGCGGAGGAAAAGAAACUAACAAGGAUUCCCUCAGUAACGGCGAGUGAAGCGGGAUGAGCUCAAAUUUGAAAUCUCCGGUGCUUGCAUCGGCGAGUUGUAAUUGCGAGAAGCACUUUCUAGGCGGAUCGGCCGUGCCUAAGUUGCUUGGAACAGCACGUCGCAGAGGGUGACAACCCCGUCUGUG